Molecule: ribosomal RNA, 472 nt
Filed under: uncultured Rothia sp.
Lineage: Bacteria; Bacillati; Actinomycetota; Actinomycetes; Micrococcales; Micrococcaceae
Description: bacterial SSU rRNA
Rfam family: Bacterial small subunit ribosomal RNA
Source: RNAcentral
GACGAACGCUGGCGGCGUGCUUAACACAUGCAAGUCGAACGAUGAAGCCUAGCUUGCUAGGUGGAUUAGUGGCGAACGGGUGAGUAAUACGUGAGUAACCUACCUUUAACUCCGGGAUAAGCCCGGGAAACUGGGUCUAAUACCGGAUACGACCAAUCUCCGCAUGGGGUGUUGGUGGAAAGCGUUAUGUAGUGGUUAUAGAUGGGCUCACGGCCUAUCAGCUUGUUGGUGAGGUAACGGCUCACCAAGGCGACGACGGGUAGCCGGCCUGAGAGGGUGACCGGCCACACUGGGACUGAGACACGGCCCAGACUCCUACGGGAGGCAGCAGUGGGGAAUAUUGCACAAUGGGCGCAAGCCUGAUGCAGCGACGCCGCGUGAGGGAUGACGGCCUUCGGGUUGUAAACCUCUGUUAGCAGGGAAGAAGAGAAAUUGACGGUACCUGCAGAGAAAGCGCCGGCUAACUACGUGC